Molecule: long non-coding RNA, 1073 nt
Filed under: Setaria viridis
Lineage: Eukaryota; Viridiplantae; Streptophyta; Magnoliopsida; Poales; Poaceae
Description: long non-coding RNA (SVIR_LNC002543)
Source: RNAcentral
CCCGCAUCAGGGAUACCCUCCUCAAGGCUACCCACCACCACCAGGGGCGUACCCGCCUCCCCCUGGAGCGUAUCCUCCUCCACCCGGGGCUUACCCCCCUCCACCCGGGGCAUACCCACCACAGCAUGGGUACCCUCAACCAGGUGGUUACCCGCCACACGGUGGCUAUCCCCCUGCUGGUUAUCCGGGCUCGUCUCACCAGGGUAUGAAUUGCUCUUCCAUUCUAUGCUUAGCUUUUAAAAGUACAGAGUCAUCAGAAUGGAUAGCAAUAGCAUUCCUACUGAACUCCAUCAAGUACUUGUGCUUUUUUUGUUUCCAAAUAAAAAAUGGUAUUGGCUCAUUACAUUGAGUUUUGGAUCUUGUGGAUUGCUUCUUGUUCCUAAUCAUGCUAUGCUGCAAGAAACAAUUAAGCUGAUCAGUAACGCAUCGACUUUGGUAUGAUGAAAUAGUUCUAGCUCUGUUGUGUUGGAUUGCGCUUUAUUCCUAAUUACAUAAUUGUUCUGUACUUGUCUCCAAAAGGUGCACCAACUUUGAUUUCAUUAUCUGACAAGCAGCUACCAUUGUGAUUUCAGAAAUCUGUAGUCCUAUUGCGUCAAAUCAGCCAAAUGGUGAAGCUCAUUUCAUGCUAAUGGGAUAUUGUGGUUGCAGGUCAUGGAGGCAGCCAUGGGGGCAGCCAUGGUGGCUUAGGGAUGGGUACGGUUCUAGCUGGGGGCGCCGCCGCAGCUGCAGCUGCAUAUGGAGCACACAAGCUUUCUCAUGGGCAUAGCGGACACGGUGGGCAUGGGGUCUUUGGAGGCUAUGGCCAUGGAGGUCACGGCUUUGGCGGCCACGGCAAGUUCAAGCACGGCCACGGCCACCACGGCAAGUUCAAGCAUGGGCACGGCAAAUUCAAGCAUGGCAAGCAUGGGCACGGCAUGUUCGGUGGCAAGUUCAAGAAGUGGAAGUGAUGUGCUCCCAGUGGUUGAUCAUACUAAACUCCUAUGCAGGCUUCCAGAACUUCUGUUGUCCGGAAUGCCUCUGCGAUGUAUUUAGCAGGGUGAUUGUUCAUCCUUCAUCUAUAUGUUUGGUGGGGU